Molecule: ribosomal RNA, 253 nt
Filed under: uncultured bacterium
Lineage: Bacteria
Description: partial 16S ribosomal RNA
Rfam family: Bacterial small subunit ribosomal RNA
Source: RNAcentral
UACGUAGGGGGCAAGCGUUGUCCGGAAUCAUUGGGCGUAAAGCGCGUGUAGGCGGCCCUGUAAGUCCGUUCUGAAAGCCCGGGGCUCAACCCCGGGAGGCGGAUGGAUACUGCAUGGCUCGAGUACGGAAGAGGCGAGUGGAAUUCCCGGUGUAGCGGUGAAAUGCGCAGAUAUCGGGAGGAACACCAAUGGCGAAGGAAGCUCGCUGGGACGUUACUGACGCUGAGACGCGAAAGCGUGGGGAGCAAACAGG